UUCCCGUCAUGUCCAAUUUGAUGAGGCUACAUUCCCGUUCAAAACAGAUUCUCUGCUUUCUGUACCACCAACACAACAACGUGGUGAAGAGAAGGCUUCUUCUACUCCUGUCAUGGUCACAAAAGUUCAUCUGGUUCCGUCUUCACAGCCCCCGAGCUCAGAUCCUCACCCUACUGUCUCGUUCUCAUCAUCAGCGACUUCAACUCCAGCAUCAUCUCAAUCACCAGUCGACUCUGCAUCUCAGGUAUUGCCUUCUAUAAACUCUAACUCUACUACUCAUGCUACUACGUCUUCUUCCCCUCUCUCAGACCCUACUGGUCAAACUAAUAUCCCAAAUCACCCGAACAACCCUGACCAGCCUACCCUCACCACACAAAGGCCCACUGGCUCAACCAUUCUCCCGAAUCAACAAACCACUAUAACAGAAACCAC
This 432-nucleotide long non-coding RNA is filed under the name Brassica napus (rape). RNAcentral describes it as "long non-coding RNA (BNAP_LNC021302)". The record is from RNAcentral. Lineage: Eukaryota; Viridiplantae; Streptophyta; Magnoliopsida; Brassicales; Brassicaceae.